Molecule: long non-coding RNA, 1571 nt
Organism: Armigeres subalbatus
Lineage: Eukaryota; Metazoa; Arthropoda; Insecta; Diptera; Culicidae
Exons: 3
Source: RefSeq, a predicted model, not a curated record
ACCAAAAUUCCGAUGUAGAGCCGCAAUUCGUAUGUACAUCUACAUCGUUUUGGAUGUUAAAUCACAUCCCCUUAAAAUUACACCGAAACAGAUUUAUCAUUUUCCUAUACGUUGUAUAUGUGUAAUAUUUGAAUAUAAAAACAUUGAAUAUAGCAUAGAAAAGAAUGCAACCCAAUGAAAAUGAUUUGCCUGUGUAAUUUUACACACAAUUUCUGUAAUAUCGCAUUUAAAGAUUAUGCGAUUUUGAAUCUCGCAACACUGCUCAAAUCCAGUUUUAGGUGUUUACCGAUCGUAUCGCCAUUUUGAUUUUGCAAUAUUUAUUGAAGGUAAAAUAAAAUUUAGUUACCGGUGUUAAACUAAUUCAACAAAUUAGAUUUUUGUGAAGAGUGCGGCCAGAAAGCAUUUACGGUGGAGGAUUUCCACUAAUGCACCGAGUGGGGAACCAAAUCGCAUGGUAUGGUCCGGAUCUUGUGGCUGAUUUUGGAGAAGAGUUGGAGAUGGGUUCCCCGUCGCAUACGGGUCGAGUCGUGAAUUUCGUUCUGCUGAGCUGGUCGAGCUAAAUCGAUCAACUGGAGACGUUGGGUGCCGGUAACGAACGGUGCUGGAACUGUCUUAUCUGUGGCGGAUGCAGAUGGAAUUCUUGUCUGAAGAAACCCGAAUGACCCCUAUUGAAUAUGUGACAUAACACUGAAUCAACAAUUGCUUUUAUCAAGGAUGCGUUAUUGUGUGAAAAUAAAAAAGAAAUCAGCGCAAAAGCAAUGAUUUGAGUAGCAAAGUAACCCCUUCGGUGACAACUUCCGAAACGACGUUGAAUUAAAAGAUGUGUUCGGAACAGGAGUUUGCUGAAUGCAAAGGGCCAAUCAUAGAAAUCGGACGUGAACGUGAAGUGCAACCGACUGAUUACCGGAUCGGGAAGCCUGGUUAACUCCGUUUUUUGGCGACGAAUGAGAAAGGUUGUGGAACCACAUGAGGGAAAACAAAAGUAUAUACGUUGUUUUGUAACGCGAAUUAACUGGAUAAUGAUAUGUGGCUUUAUGUUUUAUUCUCACGCGAGUGAUCUACGUAAGAUCCGAUUGUUCAAAUCCAGGACCGUGUGAUUUGGAGUUCCUUUCGACUCCCGUCAGUCAGAAAGAAUUGGAUUUAGGAGAAAGUGUCGAAUAUAUCAACGAACUGUGCGAAACCGUUUUGCAGUAGCUGAGCAUGAAAAACACAUCUUGUCCGCACAGUUUCGGAACAACUGCUAACCGACGAUUGAUCCUGCCAAGCGAACGGUGUUUGCAUUAUUUCGGCCUGCUGUAAUAUAUUCCGAUCCAUCCCGAAACUCGGUCUAUUUUCCUGGCGGCCUUGCGGAACGGGAUUUUUGAAAGUUUUUGGCUACCUGACUUCCGGAAGAUAAAUUCACUGCUUAGGCUUCAGUAUCUCAAAAAUUUAUUUAAACCGCAACCGUACCGUAAAAUGUUAGCAUUGGUUGCUAACUUCCUAAUUCAUAGAUAGCCACCAAGGCUGUUAACUACAUUCACCGGGUGACAUUGGCUAUGUACGUUGCAUGUUUGCUGAUGCGAGUUAUCUGC